AUAUGAAAUUAAGAAGAAAAGUAGCAAAUAUAAACUUCAGUAAUUGCGCAUUGAGUAAACAUAAUUCCAAUAUUGCAUGAACAAAUCCGUGAGAAAACGUAUAUAUACAUGUAUGAAUAAAGAUGUGUUUUAAAAAGACCUAUUGGCUUUAUUUCACACUAGGACCUAAGAUAACUAGAACUAAGCAAUGGUUGAUCCAGAAAUUUUCAUAAGUGGGGACUCAUUGACUGCCUUAGAGGGUCACGUCCAGUCAUGCUUCCGUGAUUCCCUAUAUAAUCUACCAUUUGUUUCCCAAGAUUUAGGAGGGGGGCUGGUACACAC
This 321-nucleotide long non-coding RNA is filed under the name Mytilus galloprovincialis (Mediterranean mussel). The record is from RNAcentral. Lineage: Eukaryota; Metazoa; Mollusca; Bivalvia; Mytilida; Mytilidae.